CUUCAGAAGCCAAUUGACUAGGGCAGGAUCAGAAGACAAUACACAGCAGAAGUGAAGCAGAGUUUGUAGAAGGAAUGGUGAAAAAGUAGAAACUUAGGGACCAAGAGAGCCACAUAAUUUACUUCUGCUUGGUUUUCUGAGCUGUCUUAAUACUAUGUUAAUAACCCAAAGGCCAUGUGGAGGCCCAGCUGGAGAGCAGAGAUGUCUCUCAGACAAGUGAUGCUCUGUAUCCCUGCCUUUGGGGUCUUAAGGAGAACAACUUGCUUUAGAGAAAAGGGGACUUUAGAACAACUGAUGACCUUCAUUUCUUCCUAGUGUCUUAUAUAAAUUUAUAAAUAGAUUUACAUUGUUACAUCUCUGCUGGCAUUUUAGAGAAUCUAAAAUGGAGAUCAAAAGAAAGCAGCAAGAUUACAAGCCCUACUGCACCCUUCCCAAGCACCCCAUUCCUUCAUAAAGUGGUAACUAUUGUAAAUUCUAUGUCCAAGCCGGCUUUUCCAAGGUCAGAGAAAACGGAAAUCUUAAGAUUGGCCCAAUCAAAGAGGAACAUUAUCACUUUGAACAAAGACCUUGAAAAGGACCUGCAGAGGAGAGAUGAAGCAAACCAGGAGCUGCUUCUCAAAACCCAAGAGAAAGAACGCGAGAUCCAGAGGAAAGAAAGAAUGAGACUCUGGUCCAUAGUAUAACAGAACUGCAGAGAAAGCUUGCAAAGAAAUCACACAAGAUAACCAAGUGUGAACAAUGUUAUCCAGAUAGAACCCCAGAAGAGUUGCAGGUUAAGUUACAGUAGCUGGAAGCCUCCUGUACAGACCAAGAAAUGAAACU
Molecule: long non-coding RNA, 822 nt
Filed under: Heterocephalus glaber (naked mole-rat)
Lineage: Eukaryota; Metazoa; Chordata; Mammalia; Rodentia; Bathyergidae
Description: lncRNA (ENSHGLG00100041222.1)
Source: RNAcentral